This 1131-nucleotide long non-coding RNA is filed under the name Gallus gallus (chicken). Lineage: Eukaryota; Metazoa; Chordata; Aves; Galliformes; Phasianidae. The record is from RNAcentral.
CCGGCCCCGACGCGCGGCGCUGCGUUCGGCCGUCCCGGGGCCGGACCGCCGCCUUCGUCCCAAACGCGGUCCCCGCGUCCGUUGCGAGAAGGGGCAGAGGGGAGAGCCCCGCACAGCUCCGCACCGUGUGGGCUCAGGGGAGCGUGCGGCGAGGCCUCCCUCCCCCCCCCGCUUCUCGUCCUCCCCCCCCCAUACCCCCGCGAGCCGCUCUCCCCAUCCAUCCCCGCUCCUACCUUUAACAGCAAGGCCUUCGUUCUGGCGCCAUCUUCAUGAAGCCUCAGAAAUCCGAAGAGUCGGCUGUCGAGGCCGGAUAGGGCUUCUCUCUCCUCGGCUGUCAAGCUGGCGAAGUCCUCCUCGCUCUGGCCGCUCGCUUUCCCCGCCGCCAUUUUCUUUUCCUCAUCACCGAAAGGAGCAGCAGAGGCGGCGGCGGCGGCGAGCGACACUCCGCACGAUUUCAUGGAAACGCAGCGUAAUUAACUGCCGAUCGCACCCCCCCCCCGCGCACCCCCGACACCCCCCAGCGCCGGGCGGGGCGGGGUGCCCGACACGCACACACCCCACAACUUUUAUUACAACAACAACAGCCGGCAGGGAGGGGGAGGGAGGGAGGGAGGGGAGAGGGAGGGAGGCGGGGGGAAGCCCCGCUGCUCGGAGGAGGAGGAGGAGGAGGGAGGGGGAGGGAGGGAGCCCCAGCGCUGGCGGCUCGGGGGAGGGGAGGAGGAGACUGCGGAGGAUGGCGGCCGAGCGGUGUUUACAUCGCCGCUCGCCCCGGCGGCCAGGGCUGCGCGCGGAGCCGGGGCGGCGCGGGCCCGGCCCGCCCUCCCGCAGCGGGGCUGUGCGCGCCGCCCGUACAAACUUCCCCGGCGGCUGCCUAAAGUUGUUGUAAUUGUGUCACACCGCCAGCCCCACGCCGCCGCCGUCACCCCCCCACCCCCCACCGCCUCCCCGCCCGCCUGGGCCCGCGCAGCCAAUCGGCGCCUCCGCGGCGCUGCACGUGACCUUUGUUGACUUACGUCAGUCAUAGCGCUCUUCCACCGCUGCGCUCCGGUUUGGUUGGCGCUCAGCGCCCGCCUCUCUCGGCGGCCUCACGCCAUUGGUCAGCGUCAGCGGGAGGAGGCGGGUUUUGUGCCC